This 466-nucleotide ribosomal RNA is filed under the name uncultured bacterium. RNAcentral describes it as "bacterial SSU rRNA". It matches the Rfam family "Bacterial small subunit ribosomal RNA", at positions 28 to 492 of the family's 1533-position model. The record is from RNAcentral.
GAUGAACGCUGGCGGCGUGCUUAACACAUGCAAGUCGAACGAAGCAUUUAGAACAGAUUACUUCGGUUUGAAGUUCUAUAUGACUGAGUGGCGGACGGGUGAGUAACGCGUGGGUAACCUGCCUUGUACUGGGGGAUAGCAGCUGGAAACGGCUGGUAAUACCGCAUAAGCGCACAAUGUUGCAUGACAUGGUGUGAAAAACUCCGGUGGUAUAAGAUGGACCCGCGUCUGAUUAGCUAGUUGGUGAGAUAACAGCCCACCAAGGCGACGAUCAGUAGCCGACCUGAGAGGGUGACCGGCCACAUUGGGACUGAGACACGGCCCGGACUCCUACGGGAGGCAGCAGUGGGGAAUAUUGCACAAUGGAGGAAACUCUGAUGCAGCGACGCCGCGUGAGUGAAGAAGUAAUUCGUUAUGUAAAGCUCUAUCAGCAGGGAAGAUAGUGACGGUACCUGACUAAGAAGCU